Molecule: ribosomal RNA, 801 nt
Filed under: fungal endophyte
Lineage: Eukaryota; Fungi
Description: eukaryotic LSU rRNA
Rfam family: Eukaryotic large subunit ribosomal RNA (bases 484-801)
Source: RNAcentral
GUUUACGCUCUACAACCCUUUGUGAACAUACCUAUAACUGUUGCUUCGGCGGGUAGGGUCUCCGCGACCCUCCCGGCCUCCCGCCUCCGGGCGGGUCGGCGCCCGCCGGAGGAUAACCAAACUCUGAUUUAACGACGUUUCUUCUGAGUGGUACAAGCAAAUAAUCAAAACUUUUAACAACGGAUCUCUUGGUUCUGGCAUCGAUGAAGAACGCAGCGAAAUGCGAUAAGUAAUGUGAAUUGCAGAAUUCAGUGAAUCAUCGAAUCUUUGAACGCACAUUGCGCCCGCCAGCAUUCUGGCGGGCAUGCCUGUUCGAGCGUCAUUUCAACCCUCAAGCUCUGCUUGGUGUUGGGGCCCUACAGCUGAUGUAGGCCCUCAAAGGUAGUGGCGGACCCUCUCGGAGCCUCCUUUGCGUAGUAACUUUACGUCUCGCACUGGGAUCCGGAGGGACUCUUGCCGUAAAACCCCCAAUUUUCCAAAGGUUGACCUCGGAUCAGGUAGGAAUACCCGCUGAACUUAAGCAUAUCAAUAAGCGGAGGAAAAGAAACCAACAGGGAUUGCCUCAGUAACGGCGAGUGAAGCGGCAACAGCUCAAAUUUGAAAUCUGGCCCUAGGCCCGAGUUGUAAUUUGCAGAGGAUGCUUUUGGUGCGGUGCCUUCCAAGUUCCCUAGAACGGGACGCCAGAGAGGGUGAGAGCCCNCGUACAGUUGGACNNCNNAGCCUUUGUAAAGCUCCUUCGACGAGUCGAGUAGUUUGGGAAUGCUGCUCAAAAUGGGAGGUAUAUUUCUUCUAAAGCUAAAU